This 464-nucleotide long non-coding RNA is filed under the name Marmota monax (woodchuck). Lineage: Eukaryota; Metazoa; Chordata; Mammalia; Rodentia; Sciuridae. The record is from RNAcentral.
CCGAGAGCCCUGCGCUGCCGCUUGCGGUCUGGGAUCCCCUCUCCUUCCCUGGGAUGGGAGACGUUGACACCCGCCGCGGGUCCCUGGCUGCGCUGAGCGCUCUCCUGCCUGCGCUGGGUUGCAGAAGCUCUGCGUACCUGGCUUCAGCUACUCCUCAUGAUCCUGGGCCCCAGCUCAAGAGCCCCUCUUUGGUAGCUGCGAGGUGAGUGAGCUCUUGCUAUUCCUCUCCUCUCCCAGAGGGCCGCCAGCCAGGAUCCGGGAGAGAGCAAGCAGGAGCCCUAAAGAACUCGAAGCCUGUGGGACCAUGGGAGUCUGGAACCAGGAGCCAGAGUAAGAAAAAGCCUCGGCCUCAGGCCUCCAGAUGGAGGAGCCGAGGUUGGCAAACACCCUGCUAGCAGCAGUGACAAGAUGCUGUAUGCAAUAAUGAGACUGCAGCUUUGGUGUGACCACAACAGCCUGUGAGU